GUGAGGAAUAUUGGUCAAUGGGCGGGAGCCUGAACCAGCCAAGUCGCGUGAAGGAAGAAGGAUCUAUGGUUCGUAAACUUCUUUUGCAGGGGAAUAAAGUGCGGGACGUGUCCUGUUUUGUAUGUACCCUGAGAAUAAGGAUCGGCUAACUCCGUGCCAGCAGCCGCGGUAAUACGGAGGAUCCGAGCGUUAUCCGGAUUUAUUGGGUUUAAAGGGUGCGUAGGUGGUUUGAUAAGUCAGCGGUGAAAGUUUGCAGCUUAACUGUAAAAAUGCCGUUGAAACUGUCGGACUUGAGUGUAAAUGAGGUAGGCGGAAUGCGUGGUGUAGCGGUGAAAUGCAUAGAUAUCACGCAGAACUCCGAUUGCGAAGGCAGCUUACUAAGCUACAACUGACACUGAAGCACGAAAGCGUGGGGAGCAAACAGGAUUAGAAACCCCGGUAGUCC
Molecule: ribosomal RNA, 445 nt
Filed under: uncultured bacterium
Lineage: Bacteria
Description: partial 16S ribosomal RNA
Rfam family: Bacterial small subunit ribosomal RNA
Source: RNAcentral